UUUAUUGAGAGUUUGAUCCUGGCUCAGGACGAACGCUGGCGGCGUGCCUAACACAUGCAAGUCGAGCGAUGAAGU
RNAcentral lists this ribosomal RNA (75 nucleotides) under Clostridium perfringens. Its description in RNAcentral is "partial 16S ribosomal RNA". It matches the Rfam family "Bacterial small subunit ribosomal RNA", at positions 1 to 75 of the family's 1533-position model. RNAcentral also lists the same sequence under 1 other name. Lineage: Bacteria; Bacillati; Bacillota; Clostridia; Eubacteriales; Clostridiaceae. The record is from RNAcentral.